CCAGCGGGAGGUAGGGGGUACAUCAUUUUGUUUUUUUUUUUUUUUUUUUAAAAAUUAUGCCUUAUGGAUUUCGAGUAUAUCAGACAGCGAUAAUAAUAGUGUAUGAGUCCCGACGAAUCUGUUUACAUAUAUUAUUAUAAUAUUAUGUUACAGGAACGAGCGAAUGUAAUGUCAGUGGAUCGAAUCUCACGACGAAGAUAAAUUUUUCUGUUGCAUUUUCGUAUAAAUUGUGUCGUCCACGGUUAGUGUCUAAAGAAUGUUUGGUUUUUUUUUUUUUUUUUUUUUUUUGUAAAUUUAUACGAGUUCCAUUUUAGGUUGACGUAACGUUACCGGUAUUACGGAAACUCGCAUUUAACGUUACCGCAGACGUUAAAACUAUGUGUUUAAAUAGACAUCGCUAAGACGAUCUCUUUAAUGUUUUAUCAAACGCGGUGUGCACCGUUAACUGAAACGACUCUGAUACAGCAAUAGAACCGCGAUUUUUUUUUCAAUCGCGGUUUUCGGAAAACGGUAUAGUCAACGUCACGUGAACCUUGCCCGGCGGGGUUUUAUCAUUAUUUUAUUUUAUUUUGUUAUUAUUAUUAUUAUUAUUUUUUUUUUUUUUUUUUUCGGAGAAAUUCCGUCCGGGCGGGUCGGGUAUGGGAAUUUCGUUUGCGUCUCCUGCGAAAAUCGCCUGCUAGCUACGCCUAUGUUUACGGGUAUUUACA
Non-coding RNA from Cinara cedri, 707 nucleotides. The record is from the annotation of a GenBank genome assembly. Lineage: Eukaryota; Metazoa; Arthropoda; Insecta; Hemiptera; Aphididae.